RNAcentral lists this ribosomal RNA (484 nucleotides) under uncultured bacterium. RNAcentral describes it as "partial 16S ribosomal RNA". It matches the Rfam family "Bacterial small subunit ribosomal RNA", at positions 30 to 507 of the family's 1533-position model. The record is from RNAcentral.
AUUGAACGCUGGCGGCAGGCCUAACACAUGCAAGUCGAGCGGAUGAGGGGAGCUUGCUCCUGGAUUCAGCGGCGGACGGGUGAGUAAUGCCUAGGAAUCUGCCUGGUAGUGGGGGAUAACGUCCGGAAACGGGCGCUAAUACCGCAUACGUCCUGAGGGAGAAAGUGGGGGAUCUUCGGACCUCACGCUAUCAGAUGAGCCUAGGUCGGAUUAGCUAGUUGGUGGGGUAAGGGCCUACCAAGGCGACGAUCCGUAACUGGUCUGAGAGGAUGAUCAGUCACACUGGAACUGAGACACGGUCCAGACUCCUACGGGAGGCAGCAGUGGGGAAUAUUGGACAAUGGGCGAAAGCCUGAUCCAGCCAUGCCGCGUGUGUGAAGAAGGUCUUCGGAUUGUAAAGCACUUUAAGUUGGGAGGAAGGGCAGUAAGUUAAUACCUUGCUGUUUUGACGUUACCAACAGAAUAAGCACCGGCUAACUUCGUG